RNAcentral lists this ribosomal RNA (303 nucleotides) under Triticum aestivum (bread wheat). RNAcentral describes it as "partial small subunit ribosomal RNA". Lineage: Eukaryota; Viridiplantae; Streptophyta; Magnoliopsida; Poales; Poaceae. The record is from RNAcentral.
AUGACUGCACUCCGGAGACUCGCGCUGACAGUUCGCUACAACGAGAAACACCUUCCGUUGUACCUGCCAACUGUAAAGCCUAGUCAUUUGCUUCUGGACUGCAGCCCAGAGGCACUCGCCUCCAUGGCCGUGGGAAAAUCUGGUGCGGAGUGGGACAAGUUCAGCCAUAUCCCGCAUGUCGAGGCUUAUGCAAAUGGCGAAGGCACUGAAAAGAGAUGGCACCUAUUUUACACAAGAGAGCCCUACAAAAUGGAGACAGAUGUGGAGGCAACUCGGCAGUUUCGCUUGGCGGGGUUAAUCUGA